RNAcentral lists this ribosomal RNA (466 nucleotides) under uncultured Myxococcales bacterium. RNAcentral describes it as "bacterial SSU rRNA". It matches the Rfam family "Bacterial small subunit ribosomal RNA", at positions 338 to 795 of the family's 1533-position model. Lineage: Bacteria; Pseudomonadati; Myxococcota; Myxococcia; Myxococcales. The record is from RNAcentral.
CCUACGGGGGGCAGCAGUGAGGAAUAUUGGGCAAUGGGCGAAAGCCUGACCCAGCCACGCCGCGUGAGUGAUGAAGGCCUUCGGGUCGUAAAGCUCUGUGGAGAGGGACGAAAACCCUGGUUUCAAAUAGGCUCCAGGCUUGACGGUACCUCUUUAGCAAGCACCGGCUAACUCUGUGCCAGCAGCCGCGGUAAUACAGAGGGUGCAAACGUUGCUCGGAUUUACUGGGCGUAAAGCGCGUGUAGGCGGGUUCGCAAGUCGGACGUGAAAUCCCUGGGCUCAACCCAGGAACUGCGUUCGAAACUGCGAAUCUAGAGUAGUGGAGAGGAAAGUAGAAUUCCCGGUGUAGAGGUGAAAUUCGUAGAUAUCGGGAGGAAUACCAGUGGCGAAGGCGGCUUUCUGGACACUUACUGACGCUGAGACGCGAAAGCGUGGGGAGCAAACAGGAUUAGAUACCCCAGUAGUC